Molecule: long non-coding RNA, 450 nt
Organism: Rhinopithecus roxellana (golden snub-nosed monkey)
Lineage: Eukaryota; Metazoa; Chordata; Mammalia; Primates; Cercopithecidae
Product: putative protein ATP11AUN
Exons: 3
Source: RefSeq, a predicted model, not a curated record
AUGCCAGAAAAACAGCUGCAUGUGGUCCUGAAUAUCCGUGCAUCCCGGGACCUUGUUAGGAGGAACUCACCAGAGGCGUCCUGGGUUGCUCAAUGCAGAGACUCUUACCCAGGGUGUCAGCCUCUGAAAGAUACACGUGCCUGGGCCUCUUCCCUGAAGAUGGACCCAGCAGAUCUGGAGGGAGGCCCCUGUGAUGCACCCUGUGAUGAGCUGCUGAUCCGAGCUGCGUGGAACCUCAGUGGGGUUGUGAGCUAUCAGGAACCUGCUGCUGGACUGCAGCGACCAGGAGAAUACGGGUUCUGUGCAUCCGACAGCGGGGACCAAGCAGAAAGGAAAAACCCUUAUACCCUAUCAUCUUUACUUUGUUGGAGAGGAGCUGUAAUAGUCUAUGUUAAAGUUACUGUUCAGACAAAGGAUUCCAACAAAUUGCUUUCAUUACUUUAUUGGUAA